RNAcentral lists this ribosomal RNA (569 nucleotides) under uncultured Alphaproteobacteria bacterium. RNAcentral describes it as "bacterial SSU rRNA". It matches the Rfam family "Bacterial small subunit ribosomal RNA", at positions 329 to 915 of the family's 1533-position model. Lineage: Bacteria; Pseudomonadati; Pseudomonadota; Alphaproteobacteria. The record is from RNAcentral.
CAGGUCACUCCUACGGGAGGCAGCAGUGGGGAAUAUUGGACAAUGGGGGCAACCCUGAUCCAGCAAUGCCGCGUGAGUGAUGAAGGCCUUCGGGUUGUAAAGCUCUUUUGGCGGGGACGAUGAUGACGGUACCCGCAGAAUAAGCCCCGGCUAACUUCGUGCCAGCAGCCGCGGUAAUACGAAGGGGGCUAGCGUUGUUCGGAAUUACUGGGCGUAAAGGGCGCGUAGGCGGUCCUGAUCGUCGGAUGUGAAAGGCCUGGGCUCAACCUGGGAACUGCAUCCGAUACGGCGGGACUGGAGUGUGGGAGAGGUUGGUGGAAUUCCCAGUGUAGAGGUGAAAUUCGUAGAUAUUGGGAAGAACACCGGUGGCGAAGGCGGCCAACUGGACCACAACUGACGCUGAGGCGCGAAAGCGUGGGGAGCAAACAGGAUUAGAUACCCUGGUAGUCCACGCUGUAAACGAUGCGUGCUAGACGUUGGGAGCCCUAGGCUCUCGGUGUCGUCGCUAACGCUUUAAGCACGCCGCCUGGGGAGUACGGCCGCAAGGUUAAAACUCAAAGGAAUUGACG